RNAcentral lists this ribosomal RNA (497 nucleotides) under uncultured bacterium. Its description in RNAcentral is "partial 16S ribosomal RNA". It matches the Rfam family "Bacterial small subunit ribosomal RNA", at positions 28 to 507 of the family's 1533-position model. The record is from RNAcentral.
GAUGAACGCUGACGGCGUGCCUAAUACAUGCAAGUCGAGCGAACAGACGAGGAGCUUGCUCCUCUGACGUUAGCGGCGGACGGGUGAGUAACACGUGGAUAACCUACCUAUCAGACUGGGAUAACUUCGGGAAACCGGAGCUAAUACCGGAUAAUAUAUUGAACCGCAUGGUUCAAUAGUGAAAGACGGUUUUGCUGUCACUUAUAGAUGGAUCCGCGCCGCAUUAGCUAGUUGGUAAGGUAACGGCUUACCAAGGCAACGAUGCGUAGCCGACCUGAGGGGGUGAUCGGCCGCACGGGAACUGAGACACGGUCCAGAGGCCUACGGGAGGGAGCAGUAGGGAAUCUUCCGCAAUGGGCGAAAGCUUGACGGAGCAACGCCGCGUGAGUGAUGAAGGUCUUCGGAUCGUAAAACUGUGUUAUUAGGGAAGAACAAAUGUGGAAGUAACUAUGCACUUCGUGACGGUACCGAAUCAGAAAGCCACGGCUAACUACGUG